UACGUAGGGUGCAGGCGUUAAUCGGAAUUACUGGGCGUAAAGGGUGCGUAGGCGGCGGAGCAAGUCAGGUGUGAAAUCCCGGAGCUCAACUCCGGAACUGCAUUUGAUACUGCUUCGCUAGAGUACUGGAGAGGAGACUGGAAUUUACGGUGUAGCAGUGAAAUGCGUAGAUAUCGUAAGGAAGACCAGUGGCGAAGGCGAGUCUCUGGACAGUUACUGACGCUGAGGCACGAAGGCCAGGGGAGCAAACGGG
Molecule: ribosomal RNA, 253 nt
Filed under: uncultured bacterium
Lineage: Bacteria
Description: partial 16S ribosomal RNA
Rfam family: Bacterial small subunit ribosomal RNA
Source: RNAcentral